UACGAAGGGGGCUAGCGUUGUUCGGAAUUACUGGGCGUAAAGCGCAUGUAGGCGGCGAUUCAAGUCGGGGGUGAAAUCCUGAGGCUCAACCUCAGAACUGCCUUCGAUACUGUAUUGCUAGAGUAUGGAAGAGGUAGGUGGAACUGCGAGUGUAGAGGUGAAAUUCGUAGAUAUUCGCAAGAACACCAGUGGCGAAGGCGGCCUACUGGUCCAUCACUGACGCUGAGAUGCGAAAGCGUGGGGAGCAAACAGG
This 253-nucleotide ribosomal RNA is filed under the name uncultured bacterium. RNAcentral describes it as "partial 16S ribosomal RNA". It matches the Rfam family "Bacterial small subunit ribosomal RNA", at positions 524 to 776 of the family's 1533-position model. The record is from RNAcentral.